GAUGAACGCUGGCGGCGUGCCUAAUACAUGCAAGUCGAGCGAACGGACGAGAAGCUUGCUUCUCUGAUGUUAGCGGUGGACGGGUGAGUAACACGUGGAUAACCUACCUAUAAGACUGGGAUAACUUCGGGAAACCGUAGCUAAUACCGGAUAAUAUUUUGAACCGCAUGGUUCAAAAGUGAAAGACGGUCUUGCUGUCACUUAUAGAUGGAUCCGCGCUGCAUUAGCUAGUUGGUAAGGUAACGGCUUACCAAGGCAACGAUGCAUAGCCGACCUGAGAGGGUGAUCGGCCACACUGGGACUGAGACACGGUCCAGACUCCUACGGGAGGCAGCAGUAGGGAAUCUUCCGCAAUGGGCGAAAGCCUGACGGAGCAACGCCGCGUGAGUGAUGAAGGUCUUCGGAUCGUAAAACUCUGUUAUUAGGGAAGAACAUAUGUGUAAGUAACUGUGCACAUCUUGACGGUACCUAAUCAGAAAGCCACGGCUAACUACGUG
This 497-nucleotide ribosomal RNA is filed under the name uncultured bacterium. Its description in RNAcentral is "partial 16S ribosomal RNA". It matches the Rfam family "Bacterial small subunit ribosomal RNA", at positions 28 to 507 of the family's 1533-position model. The record is from RNAcentral.